CAAUUUGUUUUCCUCUUUCCAUGAUCUGAUGUAUAAACUUUAUCAGGAGAAAGAAGUAAGAAUACAAAGAAACUGAAGAAAGAAGCAUAAAAAGUCAUAGCAGAAAAUAUUUUUGCAGAUAUAGCCAUGCAUAAAAAGUAAGUGUUUUUUGAAGAAUAUUUCCCCAUCCGAGUACCAAAGUUAAACACAUUUUUCUUAAGUUAUUAGAGACUAAUUGACUAACCUUUUUAGUUGAUGUUGAAGAUGAAAAAUCUGAGAAAUGGAUUUAGAAUGAGGCAACAGAAAGUAUGGAACGGUUGCUUCUUUCUGUUCUUGUGUAUGUAUGAAUUCUCCCCUUUUCAACAAACCAACAGUUUGAGAUAAGAAGUUGAAAAUUCGUGUGGAGGAGAAGAGAUAAGGGUAUACGGGCACCAAAAUCACGAGGUUAGGGAGAAACAAAUGACAAAAAAUGGUUGGGCAUUAAAUUUGAAAGUGUCUUAAAUAUAUUUCCGAGUAGUUUCUUUAAGUUAUGUAAAAGUGAGCAAUUUUUAUAUAUUUGAUAAAUUGUGAUGGUUAGAUUUAAACAGAAUUGUGAAAUAAAAAGAGAUAGAGGGAACUCACAUUUGAAGGUGCAGCUUAUAUAGUUUCUGCUAUUUUUGGUCUAUUUCUUGUGGCUAGUGCAGCACAAUGAGGUGCAAUUCUUGUUUUUUUGCCAUAUUUCUAGUGUCCGAUACAGUCUUUAAUGUUGUAGUUUCUGGGAUUUGACAGGACUUUCCUCGAAAAAAACGGCAAACUUCAGGUCCUUAUUAGGCAUGCUACACCAAGCUGUGAU
This 811-nucleotide long non-coding RNA is filed under the name Nicotiana tabacum (common tobacco). RNAcentral's name for it is "long non-coding RNA (NTAB_LNC003865)". Lineage: Eukaryota; Viridiplantae; Streptophyta; Magnoliopsida; Solanales; Solanaceae. The record is from RNAcentral.